NNNNNNNNNGAAGAGAGAGAGAAUGCAUGGAGUGCUCCAACCACUCUGUGCUGGGCUGAGCAGUGCCAGCAGGCCCAGCCCAGAUGGGGAUGGCCGCAGGUACCUGCGCUGUUCUGCGGAAGCGGCCAUGGGCGGGUUCCUGUUCUUGUGUCCGGUCCAGGGCUGCAUCUGGUAAAGAGCGAGCGCGGCCAGAGCUGCUGAAAGGCUGCAGGAGAGGCUGGAGAACACAGCCCAGCCCUGUUCUCGCCCGGCAGGGAGAACCUCGCAAUGCCCCAGGGAUGGAGCUGCCAUGUGGUCCAGCCCCAGCCCAGCUUCUGUCCUAUCUAUGGGCAUGUGCGAUGGGAUGGGAUGGGAUGGGAUGGGAUGGGAUGGGUUGUGGCCAAGCUGGCUGCAGCCACCAGGCAUGCAGCCCAGCAACCCAGCUCUGCCACUCACCCUCCUGCAGCUGCUUGAAUGGCACCAUCUCUACAGUCUCGUGCACUGGGGCAGCUCCAGGGCCUUCUUCCUCUUUCUCCACCCAGGCCAGCUUGGGCAGUCUUGGGGGUCUCUGCUCCAUGUCAAUGACUGGGUCUGUGGCUACUUGCAGGAGAGAUACCUCGGAAAACUCCGAGUCAGCAAGUCCUGCUUUUGUGCCUGCACGGCACCUUCAAGACAGAAGCCUCAGGAAGGCUCAAGACAGCAAGUCCUGCACACUGGUCUCAAGGGCUCCUGCCACAAGGACAGGAGACUCCUGUCAAGGAUUGUGCUCUCGCCUCGAGGGCACUGGUGACAGGGAUGGGAGAUGCCUCCAGGGCACCAAGUCCCACGCUCUGCCCUUGAGGGCACCUGCAGAAUUGAAGCCUAGGAAGGCCACGGGUCAGCAAGUCCUGUGGUCUGGCCUCGACGUCAGCUGCAGGAAUAAUGCCUCAGAAAUCUCUGGGUCAGACACGAACGAGUGCGCUGUGCGGGGGCUCCUCACAGCACUGCUCUGUCCCGUCCUGUCCCGUCGCGUGCUUGGAGCACUGUGGCAUGGUCCUGUCAUCGUCAGCUCCUAUGUCACCACGUGUCACAAAGGUCCCUUUGACACACUGUUCCAUGCCAUAGUGACCAUGCUGCAGCGUGUCACAAAGGGCCCCUCCACACACUGCCCCCUGCACUACGGCCGCCCCUGGCCCACCCAAAGUGGCUCAGGUUGGAAGGAAUCCCUCACCCCAAGUGUCUGAGACAGCCCAACAGGGUCUUCAGGAAUGACUCAGACCAUCAGCAAACGCUGCC
RNAcentral lists this long non-coding RNA (1254 nucleotides) under Lonchura striata (white-rumped munia). RNAcentral describes it as "domestica (Bengalese finch) lncRNA (ENSLSDG00000002244.1)". The record is from RNAcentral. Lineage: Eukaryota; Metazoa; Chordata; Aves; Passeriformes; Estrildidae.